Triticum urartu is the source of this 140-nucleotide non-coding RNA. The record is from Rfam. NCBI's taxonomy places the organism in Eukaryota, Viridiplantae, Streptophyta, Magnoliopsida, Poales, Poaceae.
UAUAUACUCCCUCUGUCCCAAAUUUUUUAUCUUAUAUUUGUCUAAAUACGGAUGUAUCAUUUGUCUAAAUACGGAUGUAUUAGAUAUAUCCGUAUUUAGACAAAUCUAAGACAAGAAUUUUGGGACGGAGGGAGUAUAAC